GCCGCUGCGCGCUGCUGCUUCCAGUCGCUGCAUCGUCGGGCUCUCACACCGCCACGCUCCCUAAUGUUGACGUCGCUGCUACCGUGACCGAGACCAUCGAAUCGAGCACUCUCCACCGUGGACACCCCACAUCCAAAGCUCCUCAGCCGAGUCCCAGUCAAGUCCAGUAGAUUCCCUGCCAUUGAAUUUACAGUGCGCUCGGCAAUUCUGUACCGAGUCCAGUGAAUCUUUGCUGCCACCAUCGUGCCUAUGUGACGUUCAGUUUGCUAGCACUUGGUCUUGCUUUCUUGUUCAGUGGGUCCAACGAAGUCAAUAGAAUUCGUUGGAUCCAACUUGAAUUAUCUGCAAGUUUCUUUGGUCUUGCUGGGAAGUCCGAUAAAUCUCCUUGCCGGUUAUUGUGAUUCCCUUUGAUGACGAAGCCAUGAAGUAGCAGCUCGGCGCCUAACUCCGCCGAGAUCUCCGUGAGCAUCCCUCACCACGAGCCGCUCGUGAUCCAUCACCAGUCCACCCCAUCCCGAUCCACUAGUCCAAUCCCGAGACAUUCAAACUUGGAAAGCAAAUAUUCAAAUUCGGUAAAAAGCUCAUAAAAUUUGACUUUUGAGUAUAUUGUUUCCUUAUUUGAAAUGUUGCAAUUCUGUGUGAAUCUUUGAAUGAUAUUAUCAUAUCUAUUA
Syzygium oleosum is the source of this 671-nucleotide long non-coding RNA. RefSeq lists it as uncharacterized. The record is from RefSeq and is a predicted model, not a curated record. Lineage: Eukaryota; Viridiplantae; Streptophyta; Magnoliopsida; Myrtales; Myrtaceae. The transcript is spliced from 2 exons.